CGGUGUUUACUGGCAUGAUGUGGGACGUCCUACCGGUGGGCUUAGCCCUUCGGGGCGGUCCAACUAAUAUCCCAUCGCGGUGCUCUUCAUUGAGUGUCGAGAUGGGCCGGUACGUUUACUUUGAACAAAUUAGAGUGCUUAAAGCAGGCUAGCCUCGCCUGAAUACUGUGUGCAUGGAAUAAUGGAAUAGGACCUCGGUUCUAUUUUGUUGGUUUUCGGAACUCCGAGGUAAUGAUUAAUAGGGACAGAUGGGGGCAUUCGUAUUGCGACGUUAGAGGUGAAAUUCUUGGAUCGUCGCAAGACGGACAGAAGCGAAAGCAUUUGCCAAAAAUGUUUUCAUUAAUCAAGAACGAAAGUUAGAGGUUCGAAGGCGAUCAGAUACCGCCCUAGUUCUAACCAUAAACGAUGCCAGCUAGCGAUCCGCCGAAGUUCCUCCGAUGACUCGACGGGCAGCUUCCGGGAAACCAAAGCUUUUGGGUUCCGGGGGAAGUAUGGUUGCAAAGCUGAAACUUAAAGGAAUUGACGGAAGGGCACCACCAGGAGUGGAGCCUGCGGCUUAAUUUGACUCAACACGGGAAACCUCACCAGGCCCGGACACCGGAAGGAUUGACAGAUUGAUAGCUCUUUCUUGAUUCGGUGGGUGGUGGUGCAUGGCCGUUCUUAGUUGGUGGAGCGAUUUGUCUGGUUAAUUCCGAUAACGAACGAGACUCUAGCCUGCUAAAUAGGCGUACAUUCUGGUAUCACGAAGGCCCUCGGCUUCGGUCGAGUGGUUUUUACUACCAACGUACCAACAAAUCUUCUUAGAGGGACAGGCGG
Molecule: ribosomal RNA, 816 nt
Filed under: uncultured eukaryote
Lineage: Eukaryota
Description: SSU rRNA
Rfam family: Eukaryotic small subunit ribosomal RNA
Source: RNAcentral